ACGCUCGACACCUACGGGAUGCAGCAGUGAGGAAUAUUGGUCAAUGGGCGCUAGCCUGAACCAGCCAAGUAGCGUGAAGGAUGAAGGCUCUAUGGAUCGUAAACUUCUUUUAUAUAAGAAUAAAGUGCAGUAUGUAUACUGUUUUGUAUGUAUUAUAUGAAUAAGGAUCGGCUAACUCCGUGCCAUCAGCCGCGGUAAUCUGAGCGGGCUGGCAAGGC
Molecule: ribosomal RNA, 218 nt
Filed under: uncultured bacterium
Lineage: Bacteria
Description: partial 16S ribosomal RNA
Rfam family: Bacterial small subunit ribosomal RNA
Source: RNAcentral